Molecule: ribosomal RNA, 550 nt
Filed under: uncultured bacterium
Lineage: Bacteria
Description: bacterial SSU rRNA
Rfam family: Bacterial small subunit ribosomal RNA
Source: RNAcentral
ACGGAAUAGAUACCCCGGUAGUCCACGCCCUAAACGAUGUCUACUAGUUGUUGGUGGAGUAAAAUCCAUGAGUAAACGCAGCUAAACGCGUGAAGUAGACCGCCUGGGGAGUACGGUCGCAAGAUUAAAACUCAAAUGAAUUGACGGGGGCCCGCACAAGCGGUGGAUUAUGUGGAUUAAAUUCGAUGCAACGCGAAAAACCUUACCUGGCCUUGACAUGUAACGAACUUUCCAGAGAUGGAUUGGUGCUCGAAAGAGAACGUUAACACAGGUGCUGCAUGGCUGUCGUCAGCUCGUGUCGUGAGAUGUUGGGUUAAGUCCCGCAACGAGCGCAACCCUUGCCAUUAAUUGCCAUCAUUUAGUUGGGCACUUUAAUGGGACUGCCGGUGACAAACCGGAGGAAGUGGGGAUGACGUCAAGUCCUCAUGGCCCUUAUGGCCAGGGCUUCACACGUAAUACAAUGGUCGGUACAGAGGGUUUGCCAACCCGCGAGGGGAGCCAAUCCCAGAAAGCCGAUCGUAGUCCGGAUUGUAGUCUGCAACUCGACUAC